This 253-nucleotide ribosomal RNA is filed under the name uncultured bacterium. RNAcentral's name for it is "partial 16S ribosomal RNA". It matches the Rfam family "Bacterial small subunit ribosomal RNA", at positions 524 to 776 of the family's 1533-position model. The record is from RNAcentral.
UACGAAGGGGGCUAGCGUUGUUCGGAAUUACUGGGCGUAAAGCGCUCGUAGGCGGCUAUUUAAGUCAGGGGUGAAAUCCCGGGGCUCAACCCCGGAACUGCCUUUGAUACUGGGUAUCUCGAGUCCGAGAGAGGUGAGUGGAAUUCCGAGUGUAGAGGUGAAAUUCGUAGAUAUUCGGAGGAACACCAGUGGCGAAGGCGGCUCACUGGCUCGGUACUGACGCUGAGGUGCGAAAGCGUGGGGAGCAAACAGG